UGCCACAGCGAUAUCACCCUGCAGUCCAAGACCGGUUAGUCACUGAAGCUAAGCAGGGCUGAGCCUGGUCAGUACCUGGAUGAGAGACCACAUGGGAAAACUAGAUUGCUGUUGCAA
Ribosomal RNA from Danio rerio (zebrafish), 117 nucleotides. The record is from Ensembl. Lineage: Eukaryota; Metazoa; Chordata; Actinopteri; Cypriniformes; Danionidae.